This 392-nucleotide ribosomal RNA is filed under the name Trachyrhinus marmoratus. RNAcentral describes it as "12S ribosomal RNA". It matches the Rfam family "Microsporidia small subunit ribosomal RNA", at positions 751 to 1311 of the family's 1311-position model. Lineage: Eukaryota; Metazoa; Arthropoda; Arachnida; Opiliones; Sclerosomatidae. The record is from RNAcentral.
GGAGUAGGAUAAAAAUUAAAUAAUUUGGCGGUAUUUUACCCUAAUAGGGGAACUUGUUCUGUAAUCGAUAAUCCACGUAAAAUCUUACCUUAUAAAAAGUUUAUAUACCGUUGUUGUUAGGAUACUUUGGAUAAUUUGGUAGUGUCCAAAUAAAAUUUUUUUAUCACUUCAAAUCAAGGUGUAGUAUAUGAUAAGGGUUGAAAUGAGUUACUUUAUUUAAGAUUUGGAAAAUUAAUUGAAAUAUUAAUCGGAAAUAGGAUUUAUUAGUAAAUUUUUUUUUAAUAUGAUGUGUUGAAAUAGGCUCUAAAAUAUGUACAUAUCGCCCGUCACUCCAAUUUUAUUAUUGGAUAAGUCGUAACAAAGUAGAUGUAAGGGAACUUGUAUCUAGAUUU